CAGUAAUGACCAGACACAUCACACCCGCCUUCUAGAAGCCCUCCCUCACAAACCGGAUCAACUGCUAUGAUAAAGGUAAGACACGGAACAGUGUUGAGGAAGGCAGGAAUAAACAACUACAACAGGGUGGUCAAAGAAGCCUACACAGAGUUGAUUGCACUGGACAUCAGAGGUUGAGGAAGAAUGUUCUUGGAAGAAAAGGAUGGCAGUGUGCCAACUAGAAAAGCCACACUUGACCAGGCACAGUGGCUCAAGCCUGUAAUUCCAGCACUUUGGGAGGCCAAAGUGGGCGAAUCACGAGCUAAGAGGCAACAUACAUGGCUGGACAGUGAGAUUGUGUUAAUGUGGAUUAUUCCUCAACAAAUAUGCAUUCUUCUCCUCUCCCAUUGUGAAUAGAGUUUUGGUUUCCUUCUUUUCAUGAUUUGCCAUGAGAAGAACCCACCCAGGUAAUCACUGCUUGCUCAGAUCCCAGCAAAUUCUAGAUCCCAGAACUAGUGCUCUUAGAGCCAAGGCCAGCCGAUCCAAGUCUGGACCACUGCUCAGAUGAGCCAAGCCUGAAUUUGGGAGUGGUCGCGUUACAGAGCAUUACCCUGGCAAUAACUGACUGAUGCAGAGAUGUAAAUAGACAUCACUGGUGGAGCCCCCAGGAAAGCUCUUUAACAGAAGACAGACUCAGCUGGCAGGUUUUUUGCCCCUUUCCCUUCUCUUCCCUUGAAUGAAGACAGGCUCAAUGCUUGGAGGGGUGAGAGGAGGCAGCCGUCUUACAACCACAGGUCACAGGAAGACACUAAA
RNAcentral lists this non-coding RNA (792 nucleotides) under Pongo abelii (Sumatran orangutan). Lineage: Eukaryota; Metazoa; Chordata; Mammalia; Primates; Hominidae. The record is from RNAcentral.